This 87-nucleotide transfer RNA is filed under the name Escherichia coli. Its description in RNAcentral is "tRNA-???(tg)". It matches the Rfam family "tRNA". From Rfam's summary of the family: Transfer RNA (tRNA) molecules are approximately 80 nucleotides in length. Their secondary structure includes four short double-helical elements and three loops (D, anti-codon, and T loops). RNAcentral also lists the same sequence under 1 other name. The record is from RNAcentral. Lineage: Bacteria; Pseudomonadati; Pseudomonadota; Gammaproteobacteria; Enterobacterales; Enterobacteriaceae.
GGAAGUGUGGCCGAGCGGUUGAAGGCACCGGUCUUGAAACCGGCGACCCGAAAGGGUUCCAGAGUUCGAAUCUCUGCGCUUCCGCCA